This 430-nucleotide long non-coding RNA is filed under the name Pelobates cultripes (western spadefoot toad). The record is from RNAcentral. Lineage: Eukaryota; Metazoa; Chordata; Amphibia; Anura; Pelobatidae.
GUACAUCACAGACAAUCUCUGACUUCUUCAUCAGGUAAGGAUCCUAACUCCUACACGUACACUUUUACUACCGACCUAUGCAAAUCGCAAUGCUUGAUGACAUGGGGAAUUUUUUGCUAUUUAAUUAUCAGCGUUUGCUGAAUUUUUUUUUCUGAACCACAAAAUGUUUUUUACAGGGAGCUAUUUAGAGGAAUGACUGUAAUAGCUACUUUCGUGAACCAGAGGUGGAAACUCCAAGAAAGUCAUACUUGAGUCAUGAAACCAUAGCUCGAAAUGUUCAAAUGUUAAGUUGAACUAAUCGGUCAGUAUUCACUAUUUAUCUAUACUUUACAAGGUAACUUGCCUAUUGAGUCAAGCAAUAUAUUGCCACAGCAGUCAUUCUUGUUUUUUUUUUUUUUUUAAACCACAAAAUCAUACUGAUAGUUUUUUC